GGACUAGAGGAUAGGUGGAGGUAUGGACUAGACUAGAGGAUAGGUGGAGGCAUGGACUGGAGGAUAGGUGGAGGUAUGGACUAGACUAGAGGAUAGGUGGAGGCAUGGACUGGAGGAUAGGUGGAGGCAUGGACUGGAGGAUAGGUGGAGGCAUGGACUGGAGGAUAGGUGGAGGCAUGGACUAGAGGAUAGGUGGAGGCAUGGACUGGAGGAUAGGUGGAGGCAUGGACUAGAGGAUAGGUGGAGGCAUGGACUAGACUAGAGGAUAGGUGGAGGCAUGGACUAGAGGAUAGGUGGAGGUAUGGACUAGACUAGAGGAUAGGUGGAGGUAUGGAAUAGAGGAUAGGUGGAGGUAUGGACUAGAGGAUAGGUGGAGGCAUGGACUAGACUAGAGCGAGUUCCACCAUGAAUUUGCUUUUAUACCCAAGAAAGGAAGUGAACAAGUGCACACUGAUAAAAAGGACAGAUGGUUGGGCCCCGUGCUGAACUCCCUCCUUCGGUUUCUAUUGGGAAGGGAAGGGAUAGGAUAGGAUAGGAUAGCGGGAGGAGAGGUGUAUCACAGCAGAGUUGGGGGUCAAAGGUCAUUGCACAAUAUUAUAGACUUGCUGUUCUGUAAAAGCCUAAUAUGCAAUGCAUUGUUUAUUAUUAUUAUUAUUAUUAUUAUUAUUAUUACCAUAAUAAAAUAUUAUAAAAUAUAUUAUUUUCGUAUUUUUCCAUUUGCCUGAUGUCAAUUUCUCCCGCUUUGCCAGGGAGCCACCAUUGUUGGAUGAUGUAUAUUAUAUUAUACAUGUGUAAUAAAUAAGUCAUAUUAAUAAUCAUCGUGUUGAGAAAUGAAUCCCAUGUAGUCUUCUUCAUCAUGUUGGUCUGAUAAUAUUACGUGGAUGACGACACCUAAUAAAACACGUGUUUGUA
Oncorhynchus kisutch (coho salmon) is the source of this 912-nucleotide long non-coding RNA. RefSeq lists it as uncharacterized. Lineage: Eukaryota; Metazoa; Chordata; Actinopteri; Salmoniformes; Salmonidae. The transcript is spliced from 2 exons. The record is from RefSeq and is a predicted model, not a curated record.